Molecule: transfer RNA, 77 nt
Filed under: Tomato big bud phytoplasma
Lineage: Bacteria; Bacillati; Mycoplasmatota; Mollicutes; Acholeplasmatales; Acholeplasmataceae
Description: tRNA-Ile
Rfam family: tRNA
About the family: Transfer RNA (tRNA) molecules are approximately 80 nucleotides in length.
Source: RNAcentral
GGGCCUAUAGCUCAGUUGGUUAGAGCACACGCCUGAUAAGCGUGAGGUCGGUGGUUCAAGACCAUUUAGGCCCACCA